Long non-coding RNA from Anarrhichthys ocellatus (wolf-eel), 1039 nucleotides. RefSeq lists it as uncharacterized. The record is from RefSeq and is a predicted model, not a curated record. The transcript has 2 exons. Lineage: Eukaryota; Metazoa; Chordata; Actinopteri; Perciformes; Anarhichadidae.
UAGUUUUUUUUGUUUGUUAUAUUUAUAUAAUGUUUGAUAUGCAGACAGAAAGGUGUCUUAGUGAGACAGUGUUUUAUUUUACUUUAUUGCACAAAGUGAAUCAAGCAGCUGAAUAUGAGGACAAAUACAGACACUGAAUGUAAAAACAUGAAUACAGAACAAUAACAGGACGCCUACUCUGUUAAUGAAGAGCGAUGCACAUGUGAUCAUCACAAUGCAAUACAUCCAAACCUAUAUAGUUAUUUACUUAUAUAUGUAUUUGUUUCCGUCAGCUCAAACAGUUUUCUGUCUAUUAUUUCCUGGAGUCUCCUGACUAACAACGUGUUAUUUGUGUUUAAAAUGAGACUUAAAUCAAACCUCAGGUAGUAAUUAAAGGUACCGUAGACGCCCUCAGAUAUUCUGAACUACUGCUACUUGAAUUAAAGCUACAAGGAGCCAAUGUGCUAACGUGCAGCUAGCUGUGGCUAACGUGCAGCUAGCUGUGGCUAACGUGCAGCUAGCUGUGGCUAACGUGCAGCUAGCUGUGGCUAACGUGUUUCUGUCCUCCUCAGAUCUUCACACCACCUCUAACCUCCGCUCCCGCUCUCUGUCGGGCACCGGUCGCUCUCUGGUCGGCUCGUGGCUCAAGCUGAACCGGACCGAGGACUACUUCCUGCUCUACUCACACCUGACCUAUGUCACGCUGCCGCUGCACCGCAUCACCACAGACAUCCUGGAGGUGAGGCAGAAGCCCAUCCUGAUGACGUAAUGACAUGUGAUGACCUCAUAACACGUGAUGUGAUGACAUCAUAUCCUGAUGACGUAGCAGCGCUGCCUCCCUCAGUCAUCUCUACAAAGUGCCUCCUGCAUCAUCAGGCCACUGAGACCACAGCAGAACAACUUCAGAGGAGACCAACAAACCAGCCAUUCAGGAAGUGCCUCUUCUUCUUCUUCAGUUCGUCCGAGGUCGUCGGGGUCACGUGACCUCAGGUGUGAAAAAAAGGCAAUUGGCUGAACUCUGAACCAGGAAGUGAAGAACGUGUAAAUAUCUGCUGCUUUA